GACGGACGCUGGCGGCGUGCCUAAUACAUGCAAGUAGAACGCUGAAGAGAGGAGCUUGCUCUUCUUGGAUGAGUUGCGAACGGGUGAGUAACGCGUAGGUAACCUGCCUUGUAGCGGGGGAUAACUAUUGGAAACGAUAGCUAAUACCGCAUAACAAUGGAUGACACAUGUCAUUUAUUUGAAAGGGGCAAUUGCUCCACUACAAGAUGGACCUGCGUUGUAUUAGCUAGUAGGUGAGGUAAUGGCUCACCUAGGCGACGAUACAUAGCCGACCUGAGAGGGUGAUCGGCCACACUGGGACUGAGACACGGCCCAGACUCCUACGGGAGGCAGCAGUAGGGAAUCUUCGGCAAUGGGGGCAACCCUGACCGAGCAACGCCGCGUGAGUGAAGAAGGUUUUCGGAUCGUAAAGCUCUGUUGUAAGUCAAGAACGGGUGUGAGAGUGGAAAGUUCACACUGUGACGGUAGCUUACCAGAAAGGGACGGCUAACUACGUG
This 497-nucleotide ribosomal RNA is filed under the name uncultured bacterium. Its description in RNAcentral is "partial 16S ribosomal RNA". It matches the Rfam family "Bacterial small subunit ribosomal RNA", at positions 28 to 507 of the family's 1533-position model. The record is from RNAcentral.